ACUCCUACGGGAGGCAGCAGUGGGGAAUUUUGGACAAUGGGCGAAAGCCUGAUCCAGCAAUGCCGCGUGAGUGAAGAAGGCCUCGGUUGUAAGACUCUUUGUUCUAGGGAAGGAAACGGUAGAGAGCUAAUAUNCUCUUGCUAAUGACGGUACCUGAAGAAUAAGCACCGGCUAACUACGUGCCAGCAGCCGCGGUAAUACGUAGGGUGCAAGCGUUAAUCGGAAUUACUGGGCGUAAAGCGUGCGCAGGCGGUUUUGUAAGUCUGAUGUGAAAUCCCCGGGCUCAACCUGGGAAUUGCAUUGGAGACUGCAAGGCUAGAAUCUGGCAGAGGGGGUAGAAUUCCACGUGUAGCAGUGAAAUGCGUAGAUAUGUGGAGGAACACCGAUGGCGAAGGCAGCCCCCUGGGUCAAGAUUGACGCUCAUGCACGAAAGCGUGGGGAGCAAACAGGAUUAGAUACCCUGGUAGCGACUGA
RNAcentral lists this ribosomal RNA (474 nucleotides) under uncultured bacterium. RNAcentral's name for it is "bacterial SSU rRNA". It matches the Rfam family "Bacterial small subunit ribosomal RNA", at positions 335 to 798 of the family's 1533-position model. The record is from RNAcentral.